This is a non-coding RNA of Aegilops tauschii subsp. strangulata, 3217 nucleotides long. Lineage: Eukaryota; Viridiplantae; Streptophyta; Magnoliopsida; Poales; Poaceae. The record is from RefSeq and is a predicted model, not a curated record.
GACUUAUUACCGUUAACUCUUUUUACAUUACAAAAUCAGUUAACUUUUCAUUUUAAUUUUAAUUAAGUAAAGAAGGAAAGAAAAUCAUGGCAUCGCUGAGUAAUAUUUGUUUCCCCUUUCCUUCUAGCGUGCGUGCGUAGUAUCGGCAUCGCAACUGGGUGCGAUCCCCUUUCUGAGUUGCCCACCUGAGUUUCGCCGGCGCCGCCGCGCGCACCAUGCUCCGCCUACACAAGUGCAUCGUCGCCCAGCUGCUCCCUCAUGCCUCCGCCAUCUCCCCGCUCCACCGCCUCCUCUCCGCAGCCGCGACGCCUGCCCGCCGCAUUUCUCCAAACCCUAGCUUCGUCGUCGACGACUACCUCGUCUCCGCCUGCGGCUUGACCCGAGCCCAGGCCCUCAAGGCCUCCCCCAAGCUCUCCCACCUCAAGUCCCCCGCCAAGCCCGACGCCGUCCUCGCCUUCCUCGCCGGCCUCGGCCUCUCCGCCGCCGACGUCGCCACCGCCGUCGCCAAGGACCCGCUGUUACUCCGCGCCAAAGUGGAGGGAACCCUGGCCCCCGUCGUCGACGGGCUCACCGGCCUCGGCCUCUCGCGCUCUGAGGUCGCGCGCAUCGCCGUGCUCGUCCCCGGCAAAUUCCGCUGCAGAUCCAUCGUCUCCGCUGUACACUACUACCUGAAUCUCUUCGGGUCCAUGGACAACUUGCUUCGGUUGCUCAAACGCGGCUUCUGGCUACAAGGUUCUGACGUCGAGAGGGUGGUCAAGCCCAACGUCGCGUUCCUCCAGGAGUGCGGGCUACAUGAUUGCGACAUUGCCAAGCUGUGCAUCCGUGUGCCAAUGAUCCUCACAAUCAACCAGCAGCGCCUCCGGGCAAUGGUGGCAUGCGCCAAAGCUCUCUGUGUGCCACAUGGCUCUGGGAUGUUACGAAAAGCGUUGCAGGCUGUCGGAUUCUGUGACGAGGAGAAGAUCACCGCCAAGGUGGAAUACCUGAAGAAGACAUUUAGGUGGUCGGAUACUGAGGUGGGCAUUGCUUUGCCCAAGAAUCCGAUGGUGCUGACCUAUUCCAAGGACAGGCUGCAGCGUGUCUCAGAGUUCCUCAUAUCCGAGGUGGGGUUGGAACCAGGGUACAUUGCUCAUCGGCCGGCGCUUCUCGCUUACAGCCUGGAUGGUCGGCUCAGGCCCCGGUACUAUGUUGUGAAGUUUCUCAAGGAAAACAGAUUGCUACAUGGCGACCGGGACUACUAUUCUGCAGUUGCGGUGACUCCGAAGGUAUUCAUGGAGAAGUUCAUAUGCCCACACAAGGAAGCUGCACCACACCUUGCUGAAGAUUAUGCAGCAGCAUGCAGAGGGGAGGUGCCGGCUAGAUUCAGAUUUACAUGAACCAUGACCGGCAUGAAAAUUGGUAUGUUCAUUUUGUCAUUCAUUAGAGAAGGAAGCAUAGCACUGCUAUGAACUUGUCCUUCAUCAUGUCAUAUUGACACACAUAUCGUAACUGAGAGUGGGAGAUCAGGGCAUCCUGCAAAUGCUUUGAAGUAUCAGUUACUACUGUGCACUCUGUAUCUUUAUAUUCUGAAAUGGCCAUCGCAAUUUUCAUUGCAAUCUUCAACCUAUCUUUCAAUGAAAACAUGUUCCCAUUUCGGCCAUGAAGAUGAUUUGAAGCCUCAAAACUUUCCUUUAGAUGAAAAUCUUGGACUUCUUUUUCCUCGGGAAAUAGUUUUGUGUUUGUUGUUGGCCAGUUGGUCACUGUGUUGAACAUGCAUACCACUAAAUAGAUAUUUUAGGUGCUCUGGUAUUUGUACGGGAAAAGGAAAUCGAUGCUUGUAUGGUAUGAUGCUGAAAAAGCAGAGUGCAUUUCAUACAAUAAUUGAACAUAUGUUAUGGUAACCUUGAAAACGGUCAUGACAUUACCAAAUUAAUUUCUGCCAUAUCUUUUAGCUAAUUUUAUUCCAUAUUAGCACUAUUUGUAUAGAUAACAUAUUCUGUUAAAAUAGUAUAGUGGUCUUAUGUACCAUUCCCCUCCACCCCUUCUUGCAAAUUUCUAUCUGUAAAGUCGCAAAAGUAGACAUGUUAUGUAUCUCAAUUUAAGAACCAAACUGUGUGAGGAUGGUGCAACAUUUGUUUGUUCCUGACCUGAGGCUGUAGAAGUUGGAAUAAAUGAGAUCGCAGGUGUUGUGCCUGCCUACAGGAUUCAUCAGCUGAACCGUGUGAGGCAACCUGAACAUAAUAACAAGUUGAAUAACUAGCAGCGUCUGCUGCUGUAGUCAAUUCGUACAUUGAGCUCUGUGCUUCCUCUAGCUAUGACAUGUUCGAUCUUCACUUGGACGUAAACAAUUUGAACGGGUUAUGCAUGCAUGUAAACAGUAAGCUUGUUGUAAAUUUUGUACUCUGAACACUGAAUUUGAAUCAGAGUUGAAAGUUAACUCUGAAUCUUUCAGAUGUCAUGGGUGAACUCUGAAACUUGGUACACCCAAGCCAAUUGUGAAGCUAUAAUAGUAAGCGUUUAGAAAUCUCAAGGAGCCAAGUUAACUUGAAUCAGAGAUAAAAGCUAACACAAUCUUACAACAAAGUCUUUUAACUGUUUCUUUUCACAACAACUUCAUGUCUUAAUACUUGGCUGCCAGAAGCAAAUACUGUAUGUUUCUUAUAUGCUUCAGUUUAGACUCUUUGGAGCCACACCUAUUUUAUCAAUAUUUUCCAUUAUCACAGCCCCAACUGUGUGACAUGAGUUCUUAUGUUUUCAGAACAUUGGGACUGGGCUAAACAAAUUAUGUUGACGAAUCACUUUCUUAUCAUAAAAUAUGUCAGUGGUUAGUGUUUUUUUAUAUAGAAGAGGUCUUCUAUUGUAUUCAUCUGAUCAAGAUAUGUCAAAGCCCUUGAUGGGAUGUAAGGGAAACCUGCAACACAUGCGGUGCCUUUCAUAAGCUAAGCUGGGCUGUUGAAGUAAUUAUUCUUUAGCACAACCACUGCCCAUUGGUGUCGAUGAUGGUGUCUCGUCACUCCAGGAAGACGGAUAAAGAGGUCAAAUUCAAGUUCCAAUUAGGUUGGCGUUGAUGAAUUGUGCAAUGCAUUUUUCUUAUUUAGGGCUAACACAAAAAGGCAUAAUGCCAGGGGCACAAAAUUGUUUCACCUGAAAGUGCAGAUUGUACACUUGGUUUCUAAUGUGUUGAAGGCUUGCGAUGAAACCAUUUAUGUUUCACCUGAUUGCGGCAUUCUUAUUUCUGAAA